Molecule: long non-coding RNA, 1846 nt
Organism: Populus euphratica (Euphrates poplar)
Lineage: Eukaryota; Viridiplantae; Streptophyta; Magnoliopsida; Malpighiales; Salicaceae
Exons: 3
Source: RefSeq, a predicted model, not a curated record
AGAGAGCAUGAGAAAGAGAAACAUUAUUGCCAUACAGGUUUUCACCAGAUUUUUCGUUGUAUAGGAGAGAGAGGUUAUUGAAAUCUCUGCUUCUGCGAGCGGAGAUGAUCGUAACUGGAUAUUUCUGGGAAAGAUUCACAAGGCGGUUGGGUUUUAUUUUGAAGCUACCAAUAGAGCUGAGAUUGCUCGGAAGAGAAUUCAGGAGAUGGAGGAGAGUCGUGCAGGGAUUGUUUCUGGGAUUGAACGAGAGUCAGAAGGGAAACACCAAGUUCGUCAUGCCGUGCAGGAGAGGUCCUCUGAGGUUUACCGCUUGAGAGCUUGAGCUGACUAAGCUUGUGGUCACACGAGGCUGAAGAGAGAGCUGCUCGGGCAGUGGAAGCAUACAAGGCUUCUCCUGAGUUUCAGAGAGGGAGAGGGAGAGUUGACAGGGUACUCCAGGGAUUCCUAUCUUGAUGGAGUUGUGGAUUCUAUGAGUUUGGCUCUUGAUGAGCUUCCUGGUGCGGAUGUUGGCUUCUUCUACCAGCUGUCUCGAGGGAGAGAUCCUUGAUUCUAAUUCUGCAUACCUUGUUGAGGUCAGUUUUUUACUUGUAUAAAGACUUAUAAACCUUAUAGAGAGACAAACUUUAUCAUAUUAAUAUUUCGAAAUAAAAUAAGAUUUUAGAGUAGUUUGUGUGUUAACCCUAUUUUAGCUUGCUGCUGUCCUUGAUUGUGCUUCCCCUGCAUCACAAGGUUUGUAACGCGAAUUAGAGCCUGGAAGAAGCUUCUUUUUUGUUUUUUUUUUUUCUAAUUGAUGCUAUUCUCCAGGUUUUCUCUUGGAGGUGAGUGCUGACAGGUUUCUGCACCCAAUUGCUGUUAAGAAAUCUCAGAGCCGAGCAAAACGAAUCGCCUCUGCUUCCUAAAACAACAAUGACUUCAUUUUCUUCCCUUCCAAUCCGAACAUCAAAAUAUUGACAGAUGUUCUUUGGCAGACCCACUCGCACUUUUGGCCUUGGUUUCUUGUAUUUCUUUCUUGGCUCUCCCUUCCAUGCCAGUUCAAAUUUAUUGACCAUUUCCCCUCCAACCCAGUUCAAAGUCCUCAGUUGACUCCAAAUUAUAGAGUCGACAGAGCUCUGCUUUCCAAUCAUUAUCAGCAUUAAACCAGGAUGGAAACUCUGCCACAAUCAUCCAUGCACAAAGUGCACGUUUCAUUGCAGGCAUCUCCUUAGCAAUUUCUCCUUUCAGAGACAUACUAUUGUUUGUGGGGCCUUUCCAUUCAUGAAUCCUAAGAAUGACUUUGACAUAACGAUAACAAAAACAAGAAAAUUCAAUUUGGGACCAUUAAAAGCUCUUUGAGAAAGAACAUGGGUGUCUCUGACUGUGUGUGUGUGGCCAAGGAUCAUUGACAGCAGUGAAGCCACAAUUACAUCAUUCAGGGAAGGUAUAACUGCGGGGGGACCAGACUAGUUGGCAAAUAACACAUAACGUCUAGCUAGUUUGGAUUGAAAUUAUUGCAGUUUUGGAUGAAACUAGCUUGGAGAGAUUGAAGGCAGGUUGGAAGACUCGGUUGCACUUUCGGCCUUGGUUUCUUGUAUUUCAUUCUGGGCUCUCCCUUCCUUAUCAGGGCAUAAUAAUGUAUAAUCAGGUCCAGGAUAUAGAAAGGCCAUCUUGUGAACAAAACUAACAGCAGCCUGCAUGCAUGAUCUUUGUGAUGAUGCUUUUGACCAGGCAGAGGCAGGCAGUGUCAUCUGUGGUAUCAUAUCAGAUCAGUUUUGUCUGAUAAGCUGAAAUUUUCAAGAGUAGGAAACCAGAAAACAUCCUUUCUGCCUUUGAUUGAUUAGGGACAUGAAUUUUACUGGUUCAUGGCACA